CAACUCCGGUGUGUAGGAAAGGGAUUACUCCUCUCUCCUAAGGUCUCCUCCUAGAGUAGGGGCGGGCUCGAAGAAGACGGUGGAGCUGUGGUGUGCUGGGGCGACGGUAGUCUCUGUGACUACUCGGCGGCGGCAGAGGGUUCAGCGGACGGCUGGAGGCGGAGGAGAGGAAUAAGAGGGUAGAGAGAAGAGAGCAUAGACUGGAAAGAGGGGCCACGUCGAAGGUGGAGGGACGUCUAGGUGUGAAACAGCCCGCCUCCCUCGGAGGUCGUAGCGACCCUCGUUACCGGGUACGGGCCGCCGUGACUCCACCGUGUAGUGUUAUACUUCGUGGCGAGGGCUAGGUAUCUAGGUACCACCAAUCACCGGGCCUCUCAUUGAGGGGCCACGUCGAAGGUGGAGGGACGUCUAGGUGUGAAACAGCCCGCCUCCCUCGGAGGUCGUAGCGACCCUCGUUACCGGGUACGGGCCGCCGUGACUCCACCGUGUAGUGUUAUACUUCGUGGCGAGGGCUAGGUAUCUAGGUACCACCAAUCACCGGGCCUCUCACUAAAAUUCAACGGCGGAGAAAAACAGGUCCCUAAACCAACUGCGCAAACUACACACAAGGUUAAGCUCAGGGAUAUUUAUUAGCUCCCAGAAAGAGGAUCAAGAAAGGAAGGGAAAAUGAAGAAACAGUGCAGAGUACAGCAAACUCUACGUCAACAGGAGUUUCGUUAAAAGAAGGAAAUAAAGAGACAGUGCAGCCAGGAAUUGGACCCGAGUAACUAAAAGUUCAAUCGAGGAAUUAUGGCUCUUUUAGUUUCUGUAUAUACUUAACCUCUUUAACACACAUUCUUUGGCUCCGCCCUGAUAACAUCUUGUUAGAAACGAACGUCGGCUCCACCCGAUCGAGCUAGCCAAAAUUAUUAAAAUCUUCCACUUUCCUAAUCUUUAAAUCUCUUUACGUAGAACGAAAUAAUCAUCCAUUAUCUACAUCUACACAGACGAUGAGGAUUCUAUCAACAAAUUUAGACUAGACAACAAAGAUCUUAUACACCUACUGACUUAGUACAGUUCUAAACCGGAGCACAUACGAUAGAAGAUAAAGAUUGGUAUCUUGUGGCUCCAUAGAAACCUUUCCUUUAUUGUACUACUCGUAACUUGGACUGACACUCACUUAUUGGUGGUGGGGGAUUGAUUUUUUUUCAUUACUAUAACCGUAGAUAUAAUGGCUUUCAUGUCAUGUGUAUUCGAUAUAUAUGAAAGUCAAAAUGAUGACCCUUUCCGAACAAUGUGAAGUCAUAUGUGUUAUCAUGUACGAAAUUGGACAGUUUAUACAUAACAGUAUUUGUUUCUUUUUACAUAAACUAAACGGUACCUUGACCAACUUUAGCUUCUAUACCUGUUAUGUGUUUAGUUUAGUCGUAGUGUAGAAUUUGACUCCAUACAAAUACUAGUCAGACUUUGAGCUUAGCUAUCCGACUUAUAUGUGUUACUUUGUGUCCAAAAUCACUCUAAGAGUCUAAGUGUGUCCUUUCAACGAACCUUGAAAUUGACUUUUUUUAGUACAAUAAUAAAUCUGGGGAAACAUCACCUCGUAUACAUAUUACACUCUUCAUCUAUAUCCUAUUUGUAUAUCGAUCCUCAUAUUCCUAAAAAACGUGAACAGUCUCAUUUAUAUAAACUUAUCGAGAUGAAGAUUGAGUCGAUUGGUUAGUUGUAGUAUAUAAAUAAUCUUGACAGUAUUUGAGACUUCCAUAUAGGACAUCAUGAUUUUUUUUAAACGGAAGUCCUUAAAUCAGACGACGACACUUCAAGUUUCGUUAAAACAAGUAAGAGGCUGAGGACGUGAGAAAAGUUAACAGCACGUCUUUUUCCCCUAAACUUUUAUUUCGAAGGUACCGUACGUCUUUGUCUCGUACACCAACCUAGUUGUUAUCUUGUUGGAUGCCCCUAGUCCCUCCUCUCGUCGUCGGACGACGAAGAACCAAUGACGAGGGAGACAACUAGUCCCUCAUGAUGUGUAGAUAUGUCUCUUGUGUUUCUUGUCUUCCGACUACGUCACUACGAACGACGAAAGUUCCCCUAUGUAUGGAGACAACACCGUCGUCGGGAGACGAAGACGACGGGCAACGGCGACGACGGAGGGCGAAGACGGGAGACGACGACGACGGGCGACGGAGACGAACGGUGGCGACGACGACGAACAGUAACGAGGAACAGCGCUCGAGCUGCCGCAGGUACAUCCUCGAGGGGACGGGCGCGCAGCAGAGGCUGGGCGCACGGAGGAGGAGCAGGGACGCGUCGUUGUUGUCGAGGAGGUCCGGCGGGACGGAGAGAAGGAAGAGGGAAAGAGGAAGGAGGGGACCGAGAAGAAGAACAGAGAGAGAGAGUGUGGUUGAGUGAGAAAGAGACAAUGGAUGUCCUCCGGCUGCGGCUUGACGUUCGUCGGCGGCGGACCUCCAAGAGGCGGCGGCCUCGGGAGGAGGAGGAGCGGGUGCAGUGGCCGCAGGUAGGAGCAGCCUAAGCCAAGGCGGCCCUGAGGGACGCGGAGGCGGCGGAGCGGUUCAGGCAGACGACUUCGGCGGAGACAGGCGACGGACGAGCUGGGGGACGGAGCUGGUGUAGGCACGCGAACGCGUUCCCGACGUUGCGGGUCGUCGCGAAGCGCCGCAGGUACACGUCCCCGUUCGUCUCCAGCCGCGGCCGCUCGUCCGUCACCUCGCGCAGCUGCCUCGGUACCACCUCCAGUACCGCGGCUCGACGAGGUGGGUGGAACGCGGCUGCUCGUGCCCCCUCGAGUCCAAGAACCCUUACCUCUGCGUGGAUGUCCCCCGACCGCUACGGCCUCCGCCUCCUCUCCCCGCCCGUGGAAGGCGCGGCGGCUCGAGUAGCUGCUCUCGUCGGAGGGGGGAAGGUGGAAAAGACGGCGACCUAUUCUACUUGUUUCCUCGCACCCACUUUAACAAUGUUUUACGUCCCUAAUUAAACGUUUUUGCUUAGCAAAACGAUCUAGGUGAAUGUAUACCUGACGCCCAAGAUAAUAGAUUUUAGUAUCCCUGCAAAAACAUUUUGACAGUGCUG
Molecule: ribosomal RNA, 3066 nt
Filed under: Triticum aestivum (bread wheat)
Lineage: Eukaryota; Viridiplantae; Streptophyta; Magnoliopsida; Poales; Poaceae
Description: partial small subunit ribosomal RNA
Source: RNAcentral